RNAcentral lists this ribosomal RNA (253 nucleotides) under uncultured bacterium. RNAcentral's name for it is "partial 16S ribosomal RNA". It matches the Rfam family "Bacterial small subunit ribosomal RNA", at positions 524 to 776 of the family's 1533-position model. The record is from RNAcentral.
UACAGAGGUGGCAAGCGUUGUUCGGAAUUACUGGGCGUAAAGCGCGUGUAGGCGGCUCUUCAAGUCAGGCGUGAAAGCCCUGGGCUCAACCCAGGAACUGCGCUUGAUACUGUCGAGCUAGAGUGUGGAAGGGGCGAUUGGAAUUCCGUGUGUAGCGGUGAAAUGCGUAGAUAUACGGAGGAACACCAGAGGCGAAGGCGGAUCGCUGGGCCAACACUGACGCUGAGACGCGAAAGCUAGGGUAGCAAACGGG